UCCAGUGUGACUGGUGUCCAUCUAAGAAGA
This 30-nucleotide non-coding RNA is filed under the name Homo sapiens (human). Lineage: Eukaryota; Metazoa; Chordata; Mammalia; Primates; Hominidae. The record is from RNAcentral.